GGUAUGGGAUGAGCUUGCGUCCGAUUAGCUAGUUGGCGGGGCAACGGCCCACCAAGGUGACGAUCGGUAGCCGGCCUGAGAGGGUGAUCGGCCACAUUGGGACUGAGAUACGGCCCAGACUCCUACGGGAGGCAGCAGUAGGGAAUAUUGCACAAUGGGGGGAAACCCUGAUGCAGCAACGCCACGUGUGGGAAGAACCAUUUCGGUGUGUAAACCACUGUCGUGAGGGAAUAAGGCAUUUUUUCGGAGAUGUUGAAUGUACCUCGAGAGGAAGCACCGGCAAACUUCGUGCCAGCAGCCGCGGUAAUACGAGGGGUGCAAGCGUUGUUCGGAAUCACUGGGCGUAAAGGGAGCGCAGGCGGAAGCUCAAGCGGAUUGUACAAUACCGGGGCCCAACCCCGGACCUGCAGUCCGAACUGGGUUUCUUGGAUAGUUCAGGUGCAGGC
RNAcentral lists this ribosomal RNA (446 nucleotides) under uncultured bacterium. RNAcentral's name for it is "bacterial SSU rRNA". It matches the Rfam family "Bacterial small subunit ribosomal RNA", at positions 217 to 662 of the family's 1533-position model. The record is from RNAcentral.